AGCAGUAGCCACGGUAAUACAGAGGGUGCGAGCGUUAAUCGGAUUUACUGGGCGUAAAGCGUGCGUAGGCGGCUUCUUAAGUCGGAUGUGAAAUCCCUGAGCUUAACUUAGGAAUUGCAUUCGAUACUGGGAAGCUAGAGUAUGGGAGAGGAUGGUAGAAUUCCAGGUGUAGCGGUGAAAUGCGUAGAGAUCUGGAGGAAUACCGAUGGCGAAGGCAGCCAUCUGGCCUAAUACUGACGCUGAGGUACGAAAGCAUGGGGAGCAAACAGGAUUAGAGACCCCCGUAGUCCCUGUCUCUUAUAC
Molecule: ribosomal RNA, 303 nt
Filed under: uncultured bacterium
Lineage: Bacteria
Description: partial 16S ribosomal RNA
Rfam family: Bacterial small subunit ribosomal RNA
Source: RNAcentral